CAUAAUUGCAUCUGUAAGUCGCUUUGGAUAAGAGCAUCUGCUAAAUGACUAAAA
Salmo salar (Atlantic salmon) is the source of this 54-nucleotide non-coding RNA. NCBI's taxonomy places the organism in Eukaryota, Metazoa, Chordata, Actinopteri, Salmoniformes, Salmonidae. The record is from Rfam.